This is a non-coding RNA of Vicugna pacos (alpaca), 378 nucleotides long. The record is from RefSeq and is a predicted model, not a curated record. Lineage: Eukaryota; Metazoa; Chordata; Mammalia; Artiodactyla; Camelidae.
UUGGGGGAUCUGCCAAAAGUACUGUUUGAGAAGGGUUUGAAGUAAUGGUACCUCAUGAUGGUACCAAUCAGAGGGAGGAUUAUAGUGAAUAUGCUUAGGGAGGUAGGAAUCUUUGGACUUGCCUAAGUGGGCUAAAGGCCCCAGGAGGAGGAAAUUUAAAGAGCUUAAAAAUAUCAAUUCAGAAAGAAUAAAAAAAAGUUAUUGCUGAUGAUAGAGAAGAAAAUCAGGGAGACCAUUCUAAGACGUCUCUAUCAUCGGUAAUAAACGUUGAGGCAGCUCAAGAAUUACCUAAGUCCAGGGAUGCUGGCAUUAGUGGGCUACAUGAUCUUCUAGAAACCAGGUUCUUUCCAAAGCCAAAGGGAUGGAUCUAGAGUUCAU